Molecule: ribosomal RNA, 422 nt
Filed under: bacterium
Lineage: Bacteria
Description: partial 16S ribosomal RNA
Rfam family: Bacterial small subunit ribosomal RNA
Source: RNAcentral
UGGGGAAUAUUGCACAAUGGGCGAAAGCCUGAUGCAGCGACGCCGCGUGAGGGAUGAAGGCCUUCGGGUUGUAAACCUCUUUCGCUCAUGGUCAAGCCGCAACUGUGGGUUGUGGUGAGGGUAGUGGGUAAAGAAGCACCGGCUAACUACGUGCCAGCAGCCGCGGUAAUACGUAGGGUGCGAGCGUUGUCCGGAAUUAUUGGGCGUAAAGGGCUUGUAGGCGGUUUGUCGCGUCUGCCGUGAAAUCCUCUGGCUUAACUGGGGGCGUGCGGUGGGUACGGGCGGACUUGAGUGCGGUAGGGGAGACUGGAACUCCUGGUGUAGCGGUGGAAUGCGCAGAUAUCAGGAAGAACACCGGUGGCGAAGGCGGGUCUCUGGGCCGUUACUGACGCUGAGGAGCGAAAGCGUGGGGAGCGAACAGG